Molecule: ribosomal RNA, 497 nt
Filed under: uncultured bacterium
Lineage: Bacteria
Description: partial 16S ribosomal RNA
Rfam family: Bacterial small subunit ribosomal RNA
Source: RNAcentral
GAUGAACGCUGGCGGCGUGCCUAAUACAUGCAAGUCGAGCGAACGGACGAGAAGCUUGCUUCUCUGAUGUUAGCGGCGGACGGGAGAGUAACACGUGGAUAACCUACCUAUAAGACUGGGAUAACUUCGGGAAACCGUAGCUAAUACCGGAUAAUAUUUUGAACCGCAUGGUUCAAAAGUGAAAGCCGGUCUUGCUGUCACUUAUAGAUGGAUCCGCGCUGCAUUAGCUAGUUGGUAAGGUAACGGCUUACCAAGGCAACGAUGCAUAGCCGACCUGAGAGGGUGAUCGGCCCCAAGGGAACGGAGACACGGUCGAGACUCCGACGGGAGGCAGCAGCAGGGACUCUUACGCAAGGGGGGAGUGCCUGGCGGAGCAUCGCGGCGUGAGUGAUGAAGGUCUUAGGAUCGUAAAACUCUGUUAUUUGGAAAGAACAUAUGUGUAAUUAACUGUGAACAUCUUGACGGUACCUAAUCAAAAAGCCGCGGCUAACUACGUG